AACUGAUACUACCUGCGGGAACCUGCGGAAGGAUCAUUACAGGACUCGCAAGACUCCUACAACCCUGUGAACCUACUAUACGAACGUUGCUUCGGCGGGUGCGCCCCGGGGAUUCGUUCCCGCGGCGCGUCAGCCCGCCGGCAGCCUACAAAUUCUGUUUCUUUGCGUUGGCAUCUCGAGAAAAACAAAUAAGUUAAAACUUUCAACAACGGAUCUCU
Molecule: unclassified non-coding RNA, 218 nt
Filed under: soil metagenome
Description: partial contains 5.8S ribosomal RNA, internal transcribed spacer 2, and large subunit ribosomal RNA
Source: RNAcentral